UAGGGGAGAAAUUCCAAUCGAACCCGGAGAUAGCUGGUUCUCCUCGAAAUAGCUUUAGGGCUAGCCUCAUGGAUCAUUGAUGGGGGUAGAGCACUGAAUGUGCGCGGGGGCCACAAAGCCUACCAAACGCUAUCAAACUUCGAAUACCAUACAAUGCAGACCAUGGGAGUCAGUCCGCGAGAGAUAAGUUCCGCGGGCAAAAGGGGAACACCCCAGAUCAACCGCUAAGGUCCCCAAGUUCACGUUAAGUGGAGAAGGAUGUGGAAUUGCACAGACAACCAGGAUGUUGGCUCAGAAGCAGCCACACAUUUAAAGAGUGCGUAAUAGCUCACUGGUCGAGUGAUUGUGCGCCGAAGAUGUCCGGGGCUAAACGUGACACCGAAGCGAUGGGUGCAUCUGAAGAAGAUGCGCGGUAGAGGAGCAAUGUGCAGAGGCAGAAGCCGUAUCGAGAGGCACGGUGGACACUGCACAAGAGAGAAUGCCGGUAUGAGUAGCGAGAGGCAUGCGAGAAACAUGCCCGUCGAAAGCCCAAGGUUUCCUGGGGAAGGUUCAUCCGCCCAGGGUAAGUCGGGGCCUAAGCCGAGGACGGAAGUCGUAGGCGAUGGACAGCAGGUGUAGAUUCCUGCACUACCGAUGGAAUGAAGCAGUGACACAGAAGGAUAACUCGAGCAGGGUGAUGGUCAACCCUGUGCAAGCAUCAAGGUUGGGUUGUAGUGAAGUACGCAACCCUAUAAGCUGAGGUGUGAUGCGGACCGAAAUUUCAGUAGGGAAGCGAGUGAGUUCACGCUGGCGAGAAAAGCUGCUAGUACAUCCAAAGGUACCCGUACCGGAAACCGACGCAGGUGGGCGAGGAGAGAAUCCUGAGACGAACGGGAGAACCCUUGUUAAGGAACUCGGCAAAAUGACCCCGUAACUUCGGGAUAAGGGGUGCCUGCGAGAGCAGGCCGCAGAGAAUAGUCACAAGCGACUGUUUAGCAAAAACACAGGUAUCUGCGAAAGCGAGAGCUGACGUAUAGGUGCUGACACCUGCCCGGUGCUGGAAGGUUAAGGGAACAUGUUAGAGCAAUCGAAGCAUCGAACCGAAGCCCCAGUAAACGGCGGCCGUAACUAUAACGGUCCUAAGGUAGCGAAAUUCCUUGUCGGGUAAGUUCCGACCCGCACGAAUGGUGUAACGACUUGUGAGCUGUCUCAACAGGGGGCCCGGUGAAAUUGAAGUAUGGGUGAAGAUGCCCAUUACCCGCGACUGGACGGAAAGACCCCGUAGAGCUUUACUGCAGCCUGAUAUUGAGUUUCGGUAACUGAUGCACAGGAUAGGUGGGAGUCUGAGAGACAUGGGUUUCGGCUCGUGUGGAGACGCUGUUGGGAUACCACUCUUCGGUUACUGAAAUUCUAACAUAGCUCUGUGAAACCAGAGGAUGGACAGUGUCAGGUGGACAGUUUGACUGGGGCGGUCGCCUCCGAAAGAGUAACGGAGGCGCCCAAAGGUACCCUCAGAAUGGAUGGAAACCAUUCGAAGAGCGCAAAGGCAGAAGGGUGCCUGACUGCGAGAUUGACAAAUCGAGCAGAGACGAAAGUCGGGCUUAGUGAUCCGGCGGUAUUGAGUGGAAAAGCCGUCGCUUAACGGAUAAAAGCUACCUCGGGGAUAACAGGCUGAUCUCCCCCAAGAGUCCACAUCGACGGGGAGGUUUGGCAC
Molecule: ribosomal RNA, 1693 nt
Filed under: human gut metagenome
Description: bacterial LSU rRNA
Rfam family: Bacterial large subunit ribosomal RNA
Source: RNAcentral